CAAGUUAAAGCUAUAAUUAGCACUUUAUUUACACUAAUGAG
Molecule: transfer RNA, 41 nt
Filed under: Kikihia sp. 'tuta'
Lineage: Eukaryota; Metazoa; Arthropoda; Insecta; Hemiptera; Cicadidae
Description: partial tRNA-Val
Source: RNAcentral